GACGUAGGGCGCGAGCGUUGUCCGGAUUUAUUGGGCGUAAAGAGCUCGUAGGCGGCUUGUUGCGUCGACUGUGAAAACCCGCGGCUUAACUGCGGGCUUGCAGUUGAUACGGGCAGGCUAGAGUUCGGUAGGGGAGACUGGAAUUCCUGGUGUAGCGGUGAAAUGCUCAGAUAUCAGGAGGAACACCGGUGGCGAAGGCGGGUCUCUGGGCCGAUACUGACGCUGAGGAGCGAAAGCGUGGGGAGCGAACAGG
This 253-nucleotide ribosomal RNA is filed under the name uncultured bacterium. Its description in RNAcentral is "partial 16S ribosomal RNA". It matches the Rfam family "Bacterial small subunit ribosomal RNA", at positions 524 to 776 of the family's 1533-position model. The record is from RNAcentral.